Long non-coding RNA from Myripristis murdjan (pinecone soldierfish), 540 nucleotides. RefSeq lists it as uncharacterized. NCBI's taxonomy places the organism in Eukaryota, Metazoa, Chordata, Actinopteri, Holocentriformes, Holocentridae. The record is from RefSeq and is a predicted model, not a curated record. The transcript has 3 exons.
GAAUAAACACACAUAAUUGUGUGGCUACAAAGAGAGGCAAAUGGAAGAUGUCGCGUUGCAGUGACAGAAAAUAUUUUGUCUGUUACAGUGCUGCCGAUGAGGAACCGCAAUGGAUCUUGAAGCCGCUCUGUUGCAACUGCUGCAACAAGAAAUGACUGAGCGAGGCCUGAGUGACGGCGUCCAGAGGAGACGGGGGACGCAGCCUGAUGGACGAGGAGGAAAGUCGUCGCCUCAAAUAAUGACUUCGGCGAUUAUUCACUUGAUGAAAUGUUUCUCAUGACUUCACCAGAGAGAAAAAUCACAAUAUUUAUCAACACGCUAACAUAUUUCCACAUCAGAAUUAUGUUUUUCAUGGGGUUUUAAUUUGAUUUUUGUUUCUUUUGGUUUGGUUCGGGUCUGGAAGGUGGAGGAGUUGCUUUUUUCUUCAUUCAUGUUUUAGCAGUUUGACAAACUUUUGAUGUGUUUUGUUUCUGGGCAUUUUAGGAUAGAACCAUAUUAUACUUUUCAGUUUUAGAAAUAUAUCGAUUUUGGAUGCAAGUC